GACGAACGCUGGCGGUGUGCUUAACACAUGCAAGUCGAACGGAAAGGCCCUGCUUUUGUGGGGUGCUCGAGUGGCGAACGGGUGAGUAACACGUGAGUAACCUGCCCUUGACUUUGGGAUAACUUCAGGAAACUGGGGCUAAUACCGUAUAGGAGCUCCUGCUGCAUGGUGGGGGUUGGAAAGUUUCGGCGGUUGGUGAUGGACUCGCGGGUUAUCAGCUUGUUGGUGGGGUAGUGGCUUACCAAGGCUUUGACGGGUAGCCGGCCUGAGAGGGUGACCGGCCACCUUGGGCCUGAGAUACGGCGCAGACUCCUACGGGGGGCAGCAGCGGGGAAUAUUGCACAAUGGGCGGAAGCCUGAUGCAGCAACGCCGCGUGAGGGAUGACGGCCUUCGGGUUGUAAACAGCUUUCGCCUGUGACGAAGCGUGAGUGACGGUAAUGGGUAAAGAAGCACCGGCUAACUACGUG
Molecule: ribosomal RNA, 468 nt
Filed under: uncultured bacterium
Lineage: Bacteria
Description: partial 16S ribosomal RNA
Rfam family: Bacterial small subunit ribosomal RNA
Source: RNAcentral